CAGUAGCCACGGGAAUACGAAGGGGGCUAGCGUUGCUCGGAAUCACUGGGCGUAAAGGGUGCGUAGGCGGGUCUUUAAGUCAGGGGUGAAAUCCUGGAGCUCAACUCCAGAACUGCCUUUGAUACUGAAGAUCUUGAGUUCGGGAGAGGUGAGUGGAACUGCGAGUGUAGAGGUGAAAUUCGUAGAUAUUCGGAAGAACACCAGUGGCGAAGGCGGCUCACUGGACGACUGUUGACGCUGAGGUACGAAAGCGUGGGGAGCAAACAGGAUUAGAUACCCCCGUAGUCCCUGUCUCUUAUAC
This 301-nucleotide ribosomal RNA is filed under the name uncultured bacterium. RNAcentral's name for it is "partial 16S ribosomal RNA". It matches the Rfam family "Bacterial small subunit ribosomal RNA", at positions 509 to 807 of the family's 1533-position model. The record is from RNAcentral.